CGGAUUUUGGAUAGGAUGGGAGUAACAAAAGAUGAAAGGGUUGACCUGGUUACAUUCAUGUUUAAAGGUGAAGCACUUCACUGGUGGGAAGCGACAGAAAGAUUGUUGACAAUGCCAGUACCUGGAAUUGAACCUCCAAGGCUCCAGUUAAUUACUUGGGCACGCUUUGUAAAAGUUUUUGAGGAACAAUACCAUCCAGAAGCGUACAAAUUCAAGAAGGAGCAAGAAUU
This 230-nucleotide long non-coding RNA is filed under the name Actinidia chinensis (golden kiwifruit). RNAcentral's name for it is "long non-coding RNA (ACHI_LNC004811)". Lineage: Eukaryota; Viridiplantae; Streptophyta; Magnoliopsida; Ericales; Actinidiaceae. The record is from RNAcentral.